This 74-nucleotide transfer RNA is filed under the name Candidatus Woesearchaeota archaeon. RNAcentral's name for it is "tRNA-Pro". It matches the Rfam family "tRNA". Rfam says of the family: Transfer RNA (tRNA) molecules are approximately 80 nucleotides in length. Their secondary structure includes four short double-helical elements and three loops (D, anti-codon, and T loops). Lineage: Archaea; Nanobdellati; Candidatus Woesearchaeota. The record is from RNAcentral.
GGGGCCGUGGUCUAACUUGGCUAUGACUUAAGGUUUGGGACCUUGCAGUCCCGGUUCAAAUCCGGGCAGCCUCA